Molecule: ribosomal RNA, 253 nt
Filed under: uncultured bacterium
Lineage: Bacteria
Description: partial 16S ribosomal RNA
Rfam family: Bacterial small subunit ribosomal RNA
Source: RNAcentral
UACGAAGGGGGCUAGCGUUGCUCGGAAUCACUGGGCGUAAAGGGUGCGUAGGCGGGUCUUUAAGUCAGGGGUGAAAUCCUGGAGCUCAACUCCAGAACUGCCUUUGAUACUGAGGAUCUUGAGUUCGGGAGAGGUAAGUGGAACUGCGAGUGUAGAGGUGAAAUUCGUAGAUAUUCGCAAGAACACCAGUGGCGAAGGCGGCUCACUGGCCCGAUACUGACGCUGAGGCACGAAAGCGUGUGGAGCAAACAGG